CCUGAGGACGUAACGAAACAUAACAAUGUCGGGCCUAUAAGGCCUGGCAAUUGGAAUGGGGGCAAUUUAAAUCCCUCACCGAGUAACAAUUAGAGGACAAGUCUGGUGCCAGCACCCGCGGUAAUUCCAGCUCUAAUAGCAUCUAAUUGAGUUGUUGCAGUUAAAACGCUCGUAGCCCGGCAAGGUGCCCCGUUGGUUCCAAGUACUCCGCGGCCGUCUGGGCCCCUGCGCUUUGGUCCCCCGCCCCGAAAGGGGAGGGCGGGUCUGGCCUGGGGACCGUGGCCGGGGGGGAAAGGUCUCGGUGGGAGCGCCCCCUGCCGCCUGGGUUGGGGGGCAUAAGAUUUUGAUAGCCAACCCCCUGGCCCAGGCAGCUUACUUUGAAUAAAUUUAAGCGCUAAAAGCAGCCCAUUGGGCAUUGAAAACCGUAGCAAAGAAUAACGGAAUAGGAACCUGUUCCUUUCCCGCUGGUGCAUACUUUCAGGUUAAUGAUCAAUUGGGGCGAUCGGGGUCGGCCACAUGGCGGGGGUAGGGGUGAAAUCCGUUGAUCCUCGCCAGGUGAACUAGUGCGAAAGCAGCCGACAAGUACGCUUUCUUUGGUCAAGAACGAAAGUCUGGGGAUCGAAGAUGAUUAGAUACCGUCGUAGUCCAGACCCUAAAUGAUGCCGACCAUGGGUGGGCUAAUGUCCAUCCCGACCCGGCCCGAACCUUGUAAGAAAUUAUAAGUGUUUGGGCUCCGGGGGGAGUAUGGUCGCAAGACUGAAACUUAAAGGAAUUGACGGAAGAGCACACAAGGAGUGGAACCUGCGGCUUAAUUUGACUCAACACGGGAAAACUUACUAGAGUAACAGAAGGUGAAGAUGGACAGCCUAUCCGGCCUUUCCAGAUUCUUUCAAUGGUGGUGCAUGGUCGUUCUUAGUUCGUGGAGUGAUUUGUCUGGUCAAUUCCGCUAACGAGCGAGAACCCGCACUCCUGUAGUUAGGGGCGCCGACCAAGGUCCGACUGUUCAACGCCUAGCCCUGACCCCCUGGUAACGGGGGGAUGGGGCAGGGAUGGGGGACGACUGGGCCCGUAAGAGCCGGCUGCCUUCGAGCUCAGGUGACCGGUCCCGUUAAGGGGCUGGACGUGGGUCAAUAACAGGUCAGUGAUGCCCUUAGAUACUCUAGGCUGCACGCGCGUUACAAUGGGGGGGUGAGCGGGUGACCUAUGUGCCUUACGGCCGCGGGUAAUCCUCCAACGCCCCCCCUAUCCGGGGUUGAUCCAUGUAACUUGGGUCAUUAACAAGGAAUUUCUAGUAGUCACCGGUCAUCAGCCGGUGGCGAUUACGUCCCUGCUCUUUGUACACACCGCCCGUCGCUCCUACCGAUUGGACCGCAUGAUGAGGACCGCAGAGUUUGCCCCCCUACUGCCCGCGAGGGCACCGGGGGGUGGGCGAAGCGGUUCAAAUUCUCUGGUCUAGAGGAAGGAGAAGUCGUAACAAGGUAUCCGU
RNAcentral lists this ribosomal RNA (1486 nucleotides) under Licea castanea. Its description in RNAcentral is "bacterial SSU rRNA". It matches the Rfam family "Eukaryotic small subunit ribosomal RNA", at positions 458 to 1806 of the family's 1831-position model. The record is from RNAcentral. Lineage: Eukaryota; Evosea; Eumycetozoa; Liceales; Liceaceae.